Molecule: non-coding RNA, 24 nt
Filed under: Mus musculus (house mouse)
Lineage: Eukaryota; Metazoa; Chordata; Mammalia; Rodentia; Muridae
Source: RNAcentral
UAUCAGCCCUGAGUUUAUUUCCUG